This 29-nucleotide non-coding RNA is filed under the name Mus musculus (house mouse). Lineage: Eukaryota; Metazoa; Chordata; Mammalia; Rodentia; Muridae. The record is from RNAcentral.
UACUAGGCUUCCUCACAAAGGAAUGGAGA